UUAAAUCUUGUGUCCCUGCCGUAAGGCUUUACUGCCACACACGCUAGCUUAAUUUAAUUUGUCCUUAGUCGAAAGACACCUGUUGUUAUGUCCUGUUAUUUGUAUAUGUGUGACAUUUGGGGGUUUUUCCAUCCUUAUUUCCAUAUACAUUCGCUGCUUUCUUCCAAGGAAUGUAAUGGUCUUAGUUUAGUUUUCCUUGGAGCAAUCUCGAGUAUAGCAACUCACACACACACAAACAUACGCACACAUAUAUACAAUUCUCCAUACAUUCAAAUAACCAUAUGCAUACUCUCCCGCAAAUAUUUUACCCAUAAACACACCAAACAUUCACAUACACACAGGCUUGCAUACAAUUGACCCUUACACUAAAAAUUCAAGCAAUUUUGUUUGAACAGGUUUAUCUUUUGGGAUUUUGUGUCGCUAAAGUGUAGAAAGUUUUUUUUUUUUUUUUAGAGCAUUUUUAUGUAAAUUUUCAAAAACUUCUGGGUGACCAUCUUCAUGAAAUGUCGCAGUAUAGGAUGGGGCCCAAUUGGGAGCAAUCACUUCAAUUGGCUUAAGGCUGGCCCUGAGUAUAGUAACUAUAUUUUCUCUCUAUAUUAUACACAGUAUUUCUCACUAAUACUUCAUUGAUGUCAUACUUAUUUCUGAACUCUAAAUCAUUUUUUAAGAUGUAAUGGUAAAAAAAAAAAUUUGAGUUUUAAUUCUAUAUCAUUAUUAUCAAUUUAUUUUUCAGUAUCCAAGUGUGUUUUGGUUUGACAGUUUUGUAUUUGCCAGUCUAACCCCCAGAGUACUAAUAUAAUAUAGAGCAGUUGAUGUUAUAACAUUGAAAUGCCCAAAACUUUAAACUCACAAUGAAUUGUGUGAAUGUACAGAAAAUUUUAAAUAUUUUAAGCCUUGUUUUUUUUUAUUUUUAAAUAAUCAUGAAUUAUAAAUAUUUACAUUUAGCUUUCAAAUAAUCUAAAAAAAGGAAAUCCAUUUCAUGUAUAACUUUUAAUUAAGACAUGGCUCUUUUAAAUACUUGGCUGUUCCCUUCAAAUCUGAGGUCCUGUGCUUACGUAAAUUAUCAAAAUAGUCCAGUACAUAAAUGAUUCAUCAUUUGAAGUAAAAACUUUUUAAAUUUAUACAAAACUUUACCAAAUACAUUUUUCUUUCUAAAUAUUUGAAAAAUGCCAGGUGAAAAUAUUGUAGUGGUUGCUUAGUUUGUUAUUCUUUAUACAUCACAGGGUUUCAGUCAUUGCUUAUUCCUGAUUUUUAAAUAAAUUUUUUUUUUUUUUAUAGGAUUAAAUAAAUUACGCACCUUUCCUUAGAUAGGUUUCUGUUAUACAAAUAGCAAUUAUCCUUCCUAGAACAAGAUUUAAUUCACUAUACCAAGCUCACAAAACUUAGAGUAAAUUUCUCUACCUAACCAUUUUAUUUGCUUAGAGCUUGAAAAAUUUUAACCCUUAAAAAGUUAACUCUUUUUCCAAAGA
Octopus sinensis (East Asian common octopus) is the source of this 1469-nucleotide long non-coding RNA. RefSeq lists it as uncharacterized. The transcript is spliced from 3 exons. The record is from RefSeq and is a predicted model, not a curated record. NCBI's taxonomy places the organism in Eukaryota, Metazoa, Mollusca, Cephalopoda, Octopoda, Octopodidae.